This 75-nucleotide transfer RNA is filed under the name Streptomyces phage Sycamore. RNAcentral describes it as "tRNA-Leu". It matches the Rfam family "tRNA". Rfam says of the family: Transfer RNA (tRNA) molecules are approximately 80 nucleotides in length. Their secondary structure includes four short double-helical elements and three loops (D, anti-codon, and T loops). Lineage: Duplodnaviria; Heunggongvirae; Uroviricota; Caudoviricetes; Colingsworthviridae. The record is from RNAcentral.
GCCCGCCUAGGCAAAUUGGCAAAGCCGUUGGUCUUAGGAACCAAAGUUUCCCGGUUCGAGUCCGGGGGUGGGUAC